Molecule: long non-coding RNA, 179 nt
Organism: Saccostrea echinata
Lineage: Eukaryota; Metazoa; Mollusca; Bivalvia; Ostreida; Ostreidae
Exons: 3
Source: RefSeq, a predicted model, not a curated record
ACUUCAAGUGCCUAGAUACAGUCAGUGGGAAUACCAAACAGUGACCUAUGUCUCAAUUCUAGGUCCAAUGGGAAAUUUCUUCAGAAAGCUGAAGAGACACUAAAGAGGAGGAGGAGGUUUUAUUUUUACAGGAAAAUAUCAGUUUCCAAAAACUUUGGAGGAAUUUGGAUACUACUUUA